Molecule: long non-coding RNA, 1081 nt
Organism: Oryctolagus cuniculus (rabbit)
Lineage: Eukaryota; Metazoa; Chordata; Mammalia; Lagomorpha; Leporidae
Source: Ensembl
ACCUUUUGUAUGCCAGUCAUUAGGCAAGUCACUAUGGGGUUGAUGAUCUCUCUCUUAUGAACCUUGCAUUUUCAAAUGAAAUACAGACAAUUUGAAAAUAAGUAACAUUAUAUUAAAUAGGAUAAAUUAAAUAUAUUAAAUAGGAUAAAUAGUUCAAAAUGUGCCAUGGAAAAGAGGUAGAUGGUGGCCAGCACUGUGACAUAGCAGAUAAAGCUCCUGCCUGCAGUGCCAGAAUCCCAUGUGAGUGCCGGUUCAAGACCCGGCUGUUCCACUUCUGAUCCAGCUCUCUGCUAUAGCUUGGGAAAGCAGUAGAGAAUGUCCCAAGUCCUCCGGCCCGUGCACCCGUGUGGGAGACCCAGAAGAAGCUCCUGGCUCCUGGUUUCAGACUGGCAAAUUGCUAGCUGUUGCAGUCAUCUGGGGUGUGAACCAGUAGAUGAAAGACCUCUCUGUCUCUCUGCCUCCACCUCUCUGUAUGCAGGGUCUUAGUCCACCCGUCCAAGGACGGACUGGGUCCGAGGAAAGGUAAGUGCCCGCCACUCGCCUGUUCCCCAGCCUCCUGAUCCCGGAGACAAUCAGAUGCAGUGGGGAGUCAAGUCUAGCAAGAACUCGUUUAUUUCGCACAUAACAGAGCCUUUUAUAGCACAAAACUGCAGUCAUUGGGGCAGGGCUAAGGACCAACCAAUCACUUAAAAGAUCAUUUUAUGGGAUGAUUUCUAUAGGACUAGCCAUAUGUCUAUACACACGUCAUCAGUUGUCGUCACUUCCCCUGAUGUUGCGCAGCCAAUCAGCCUUGGUGACUAACAACUUGGAGUUCCGCCCAUCUUACUUCCUCUGGGUGCCAUCUUCUUUGCCCCUCUCGCAGGGCCCGCUGGAGAGGAGGCCUCCGGCAUCAUCGUCGGCAGCCAGCGCCUGCAGGCUGUAGAUGAAGUCCUCCUGCAGGCCCUACAGCCGGUCCUGCGACUCCAUGUUGACCAGGCGCACUCCAUGUUGACCCCUCCUUGGCACCGCCCGGGCCCCAUCGUCCACACCGCCCAGUCCAGGGCCAGAGCCGCACGCAGCGGCCCGCGGGCCGCUGUCUGCA